RNAcentral lists this ribosomal RNA (443 nucleotides) under uncultured bacterium. RNAcentral describes it as "partial 16S ribosomal RNA". It matches the Rfam family "Bacterial small subunit ribosomal RNA", at positions 338 to 795 of the family's 1533-position model. The record is from RNAcentral.
CCUACGGGAGGCAGCAGUGGGGAAUAUUGGGCAAUGGGCGCAAGCCUGACCCAGCAACGCCGCGUGAAGGAAGAAGGCUUUCGGGUUGUAAACCUCUUUUCUGAGGGACGAAGAAAGUGACGGUACCUCCGGAAUAAGCCACGGCUAACUACGUGCCAGCAGCCGCGGUAAUACGUAGGUGGCAAGCGUUAUCCGGAUUUAUCGGGUGUAAAGGGCGUGUAGGCGGGAAAGCAAGUCGGAUGUGAAAACUCAGGGCUCAACCCUGGGCCGGCAUUUGAAACUGUUAGUCUUGAGUGAUGGAGAGGCAAUCGGAAUUCCGGGUGUAGCGGUGAAAGGCGUAGAUAUACGGAGGAACACCAGUGGCGAAGGCGGAUUGCUGGACAGUAACUGACGCUGAGGCGCGAAGGCGUGGGGAGCAAACAGGAUUAGAUACCCUUGUAGUC